RNAcentral lists this ribosomal RNA (606 nucleotides) under Triticum aestivum (bread wheat). RNAcentral describes it as "partial small subunit ribosomal RNA". Lineage: Eukaryota; Viridiplantae; Streptophyta; Magnoliopsida; Poales; Poaceae. The record is from RNAcentral.
AUGCCCUCCGUUUUCUUGACGCUCGUGUCUGCGUGCUUGCUGUACCACCGCCCACUUUGCGGCUCCAGCGCCAGCCUGGGACAUCUCUCCAUCUGGGCCGGCAUAUCGGGACGCUGCAGGGAUGCCAUCACCUCGAGAAGGGGCGAGGAGUCCACUCCAUCGUAUGCCCAGUUGAUGUCCCCGGGUACUCACUAUGGCACGAAGAGCCCCUCAACGUUAUCCUCUUCGACCGGCAUCACCACGACGGGUCAGAUGUGCCACGCACAGGACACAGGGAGACAAGGGCAGGAGCGGCAGCAGGCGGCGGUGGAGCACGCAGCAAGGAGGCAAAUAACUGAAGCUGAAGGCUCUUUUCUGAAUGAUGAUAAAUCUAGGAGAGGGGCACAGCAGGUCUACGAUGUGCCCUUUGAUGAUGCCGAGGCCACGCCCAGCACCCUGCCCGGCGUCAUGGUGCGUCCGAUGAGUGGCUUUGCCCAGCAGGCCGAGAAGGAAGAGCUGGGCAUGGCGGAGACCUCCAUGGCGGCCGCUCCUGCCCUUCUCUUCCAAGCGCUGCUCCCUGUCCUACCUGUGCGGUCGCCGGUCGCUGUCCGUCGCCUCCUGGCCUGA